Molecule: ribosomal RNA, 527 nt
Filed under: uncultured bacterium
Lineage: Bacteria
Description: bacterial SSU rRNA
Rfam family: Bacterial small subunit ribosomal RNA
Source: RNAcentral
CCUACGGGAGGCAGCAGUGGGGAAUUUUGGACAAUGGGCGCAAGCCUGAUCCAGCCAUGCCGCGUGCAGGAUGAAGGCCUUCGGGUUGUAAACUGCUUUUGUACGGAACGAAAAGACUCUGGUUAAUACCUGGGGUCCAUGACGGUACCGUAAGAAUAAGCACCGGCUAACUACGUGCCAGCAGCCGCGGUAAUACGUAGGGUGCGAGCGUUAAUCGGAAUUACUGGGCGUAAAGCGUGCGCAGGCGGUUAUAUAAGACAGAUGUGAAAUCCCCGGGCUCAACCUGGGAACUGCAUUUGUGACUGUAUAGCUAGAGUACGGCAGAGGGGGUAUGGAAUUCCGCGUGUAGCAGUGAAAUGCGUAGAUAUGCGGAGGAACACCGAUGGCGAAGGCAAUCCCCUGGGCCUGUACUGACGCUCAUGCACGAACGACGGUGGGGUAGGACGAACGAAGGAGUAGUAUACCGUACGGUAGUACCGACCGACCCGUAACCGUAACGUAGUCUACUAGGUUGGUUGGGUUCGUUC